GUGGUUGCAUGCGUGUUACUGCCUUAGCCAUUCAUCUAUUCAAAUCAUUGCUUCACAGAUUCAUGUUGGGGCAAAGAUUUGCAUCCUUUUAACAAGCUGCUUUUUACCAGACGAUAAAUGAAGAGCAUGGAGCAGUUCCUUAUCAUUGUUCUAUUAGCAGGAGGAACACUCGCUCUCGUUCCAGUUGAUGAGACUACUUGCGACCUCAGGACAAACACAUUUCCAUGCUCUCCUAUUCUUGAAGGAACUGUGUAUAUCCAAGUGAUGAAUGAUGCUAGUGGCCGUGAAAUGAAGUGUUUGAAGGUGCUCCCCAGUGUGAACAUAACUGUGUUCAAUCUGAAGAAAGGAAAAAUAACGAUAGACAAGGAAUUUAGCAACAGACUACAGUUUCUAAUCAAGAACGGGACACUCAAGAUCACAAACCUGAGGAGGAAUGAUUCAGGUCAAUACAGCAUUGAGGUCUUUAAUUCAGAUGGAGUUCAAGAGAAAAACAUUCUUUUCACCCUGGAUGUUAAAGACAAUGGCGAAGUUGAAGCUCUGGUUCCAGUUGAUGAGACUACUUGUGACCUCAGGACGAACACAUGCCCGUGCUUUCCUCUUCUUAAAGGAACUGUGUAUAUCCAAGUGAUGACUGAUGCCAGUGGCCA
Oreochromis aureus is the source of this 647-nucleotide long non-coding RNA. Lineage: Eukaryota; Metazoa; Chordata; Actinopteri; Cichliformes; Cichlidae. The record is from Ensembl.